GCGGAAGUGGUGGAAUUGGCAGACACGCUGCGCUUAGGACGCAGUGCCUCCGGGCUUGCGGGUUCGAGUCCCGCCUUCCGCA
RNAcentral lists this transfer RNA (82 nucleotides) under Candidatus Nanopelagicales bacterium. RNAcentral describes it as "tRNA-Leu". It matches the Rfam family "tRNA". From Rfam's summary of the family: Transfer RNA (tRNA) molecules are approximately 80 nucleotides in length. Their secondary structure includes four short double-helical elements and three loops (D, anti-codon, and T loops). RNAcentral also lists the same sequence under 1 other name. The record is from RNAcentral. Lineage: Bacteria; Bacillati; Actinomycetota; Actinomycetes; Candidatus Nanopelagicales.